CCUGUCCACACCCCCUGAGAACUCUUGUCUUCCAGUGAGACCUCUGUCCCAUUCCAGGAUCCAAACCCACCUCCCACCUCCAGCCAGGGUGGCAGAAAACCAGGUGCAUCUCACCCUACAAGCUCAUGGCUAAGCCGGGGGAGGAAGGGCAAAACACCCUAGGGUGAUACGCCCCACUCCAUUCACAGGCAAUACAAUCUCCGGUGGAGGGUGGGAGGAGAAGGGCAGACAAGAGAGGGACAGACGGAGGAUGCACUGCCUCAAAAGCCUCAAGUUCACAAUGCGGCCCCACAGGUAUCUCAUCCCUCAAGGAACCUGAACUCCACCACCACGAAGCCGUCCCCUCUCCCAACACACCAGCUCCAGCCCUGCUCAAGACAAGCCCUGAGCAUUGGGGCCGGCCGGGGACCCCUCCCCUCCCAGUAAACUGCACCUGGCAUCUGCUCUCUGGCUCUCCGCAUGCAUACCUUCCCAGGACAGAGUGGAGAUGCUGGUGGACCCAGUCCUCUAACUCAGAGACCCCCGCCUGCCUUGUCUGGACACAGCCCACAAUCAAGUCCAAGGGAAGAAAAGCAAAGGGAGGUUUCAAGAGACGGGGCAGAAGGCAAACCAAGAACUCCCCAAGCUUUGCGUUUAGGAGGAAGAGGAAGGAGGGAAGAUUGAAACGAAAAAGCAGGCAGCCCCCAACAUGGCUCACCCACCAUCCCCAACCCAGCCCAGCGUUUCAACAGCCAGCACAGGCUGAGGAACUCCGCUGCCUAGAACUCAAACGGAGGACCCUUCCUGCCUACAUCCUCUAAACCUGAAGAGGCCCAGGGCAGGACCCAGCUCCAGGCUCCAGCCUCCAAAGCAGACUGGUCAGGGGUCCUUCUAGCUAAGAGUCCUGGAUCUCUCA
Odocoileus virginianus texanus is the source of this 895-nucleotide long non-coding RNA. RefSeq lists it as uncharacterized. NCBI's taxonomy places the organism in Eukaryota, Metazoa, Chordata, Mammalia, Artiodactyla, Cervidae. The record is from RefSeq and is a predicted model, not a curated record.